AGCGCAGGCGGUUUGAUAAGUCUGAAGUUAAAGGCUGUGGCUCAACCAUAGUUCGCUUUGGAAACUGUCAAACUUGAGUGCAGAAGGGGAGAGUGGAAUUCCAUGUGUAGCGGUGAAAUGCGUAGAUAUAUGGAGGAACACCGGUGGCGAAAGCGGCUCUCUGGUCUGUAACUGACGCUGAGGCUCGAAAGCGUGGGAGCAAACA
This 205-nucleotide ribosomal RNA is filed under the name uncultured bacterium. RNAcentral describes it as "partial 16S ribosomal RNA". It matches the Rfam family "Bacterial small subunit ribosomal RNA", at positions 568 to 774 of the family's 1533-position model. The record is from RNAcentral.